Non-coding RNA from Callithrix jacchus (white-tufted-ear marmoset), 5927 nucleotides. The record is from RefSeq and is a predicted model, not a curated record. NCBI's taxonomy places the organism in Eukaryota, Metazoa, Chordata, Mammalia, Primates, Cebidae.
AAGGGCUGAGCUGGUAUUUUUUAUCCUGUUUUAUUUCUGCCUCCCUGGCUGAGUAACCCAAGGUGCAGUUUGGUUGUUUUUUUUUAGGUGGAGUUUUCGCUCUUCUUAUCCAGGCUGGAGUGCAGUGGCAUGAUCUCGGCCCACCGCAACCUCUGCCUUCUGGGUUCAGGCAAUUCCUGCCUCAGCCUCCUGAGUAGCUGGGAUUACAGGCAUGCGCCACCAUGCCCAGCUAAUUUUCUGUAUUUUUAGUAGAGACAGGGUUUCACCAUGUUAACCUGGUUGGUCUCGAUAUCUUGACCUCGUGAUCCACCCACCUCAGCCUCCCAAAGUGCUGGGAUUACAGGCUUGAGCUACCACGCCUGGCCAGGGUUGUGGGUUUUUUUUGCUCUAAUACUACUGGGGUUUUCUGGGGGGAUGAGAUUCAAGGGUUGAUAGAAGCUUUGUGGGUCCCUGCAUAGGGCUCAUCUCCCCACCCCACCUCUUAAGUCGUGAAGUUUGUGAAAGGGCUUCGUGGUUUUCUGACUUGUGGGUUUCCUUCAUGUCGAAUUUAGGGGCAACCUGGUCUUCAACGUGCUGUGACAUCUGCUGGUGGGCGGAAGUCACCAAAUUUUCCUCGGGGUGGGGUAGGGUCAGGCUGUUCCUCCCCUUCCCUUCCUGGAGCGGUGCCUGAGAGGAAGCCCAGGGGGGUGGUUGGAAAUGAGAGAUGUGGUGAGGAAGGUGAGGUUCUGGCCACCCUGUUUGCAGUUUGAAAUUGGCAGCUUGAUUCCUUGGUGGUUUCUGGGGGAGGUAGGGAGUUGAUAUUUGCACACCCUGCCCCCAUUUUUCAGACUCCCUGUGGCCUCUGGGGAGGAGUCUCAGGGACCCAGACUCUGGAAUUCCAGCUUCCCAGGGCCCGCCCAGAAGCCAGACCCCAGGGCAGGAGAGGAGCUUUUUAAGCUGCUUCCUUGCUCUGCACUUUUGACAUUCAGCUCUUCUUCCCUCCCUGUUUCUCACUGUCCAUCUCUCCCACAUCCACUGUGCAGGGAUUCCAGUCCUGAGGUGCGCACCCUGGCCCCAGGAGAAUGAACCAGCCACAGAGAAUGGCGCCUGUGGGCAUGGACAAGGAGCUCAGUGACCUACUGGACUUCAGCAUGAUGUUCCCGCUGCCUGUCACCAAUAGGAAGGGCUGGCGUGCCUCCCUGGCCUGUGCGCAGUUUGGAGCUUCAGGAAACUCAGGGAGACGGAAGGGAGGAGAUGAACCUUCCAGGGCCCCAGGCUCAGUGAUCUCAACCAGAGCUAAGACAUCAUCCCCAAGAGAAGAGCCUUCUGGCUAGGAGGAUGCGAUUUGGUCUGCGUCUUGACACCAGCCUCUGGUUUGGGAAAAACACUGAAGGCAGAACGGCAUGAGAAAGUCUCAGGAGAAAGGAGGCUUGUGUCUGGAGAGGGAAGCCCUUGGCAGCUGGAGCACCAGAUGUGAGAAGACAGUGAAAAUAGCAGGCCAGGAGGAUCCAGCUCUUGGGCAAGGACCUGACUCCUGUGGCAGAGCAGCCGAUAGACGAUGCAGGUCUGUGCUGCGCCCACCCUCCCAGCCACUGCACGUAACACAUCUUACCCACUGUCAUAAGCACGUGGCAAGGCCUCGCCAUGUGGCAUCCUGGCUCCUGACCUGCUGUAGAUGCUGUUUUCUUCUUUCUUCUGUCCUGACCGAAGGCCACCAGCUGGCUGUGGUUGAUCCAGCUGAGCAGAUCAUACCAUUUCUACCGCAUUUCUGUUCCACUGAAGUCAAAGAACUAUCCCUGAUCAGCCCAGGGCUGGGAAGGAGACUUCCGGCCAUUUGCUUUGUCCCAAGAAAUGCCCGAGUGCUCUGCGCCCCACAAGGCCAGUGCCCCCACUGCCUCCAUCAGUCUGCAUCUCUGACCCUGGGCAUCACGUUUCCAGGGUCCAGGAAGGAAGCCAAGAUGACAGCUUUUCUCCAGGAACAGAGGGAUGGUCCAAGAGCACUCCCAGGUCCAAAGUCUCUCCCUGCUGCAUCCUCAGCGUGCCUGUUUCCUUAGGGGACCAAGUCCUCUACUCAGUUCUGAGGAGGAUGUCCAAACCACAUGAUGGCCCUCGGAGAGCCUUUGGGCAGAGGAGUUGACACCAAUUUGGGCGGCAAAGGUCACAACACACUCGGCCCUGAUGGGGCUGAGGCAUUGCAGAGCUGAGCCCGGAGCUGGGUCUGUGAAUGGGGGAUAGGCUCAGAAAAGGCGGCCUGACGGGGCCUGCUGAGGAAGGAAGGAGCUUUCCUGGAACUCUGUCUUCUACUUCUUCCCUUCCCGAAGUCCAAACCUCCCCUGGAAGGAGAGGGGGUAGGGGAGCAGGGAGCUGGUUCUUGCCAGCCUAGCUCAGGGAUGUCUCUGCCCUUUCCUGGACAAGCCCACCCAGACCAGGCUGCCUGUGUGGCCCCAUGCAACACUUGUCUGGUCUCCACUUCCACGUAGUUUUCCCUCUUGUAUUCCAAGAUGGAGCCUCCACCUGGGUGCCCCUCAGGCUCCUCUUCUCCAAUAUUUCACAGCUGAGCCUGACUCAUUCCUCCUGGCCGGAUCUCCUCUGCUGUGCUGAAUCAGAGAUGGCCCCGCCAUCCCUCCAGGCCCUCUUGCUGGGAUUCCUCCUCCUCAAUUACCUCCCAUGGGGGAUCCCAUGGACCCUGUGAUGCUGACACCUCUCUGUGCUACCCGCUCUGCUUUACCCUGACCACCCAGGCUCACCUGGGCUUCAAGGCCACCUCAUGGUCUCCCUGCUGUCAGCCUCUCCUCCAAUCCGUCCUCCACACAGAUCCCCCAGAGUCACCUCUCCAAAAUCCAAAUCUCGCUGUACCCUCCCUCCCACAUAAAAGCCUUCCAUGGCUCCCACUGCUCUCAGGAUCCAAGUUUUUUGACUGACCCCCAAGACCCAGCUCCAACGGGACUCAUCUCCCCAGAGACGACCCCACUGCCCUGCAUUCCAGCCACACCACACUCCCCACCUCCGUGGCCCUGCCCUGAGCACUGCUCCCCAUCCCUCUGCCCCAGGUGCACUUUCCCUUUCUCUCCAAAUCCUCUCUAGCACCACCUCCUCCAGGAAGUCCCCUGAGACUGCCUACAGGAUCAGAGUAACCUGGCUCUUCAGGCCCCACUGGCUGGUUCACCUGUCUCUGGGCAUCUCCCACCAUCUUCUCAACUCCCCUUCUGCCAGACUGAGCAUCCAUGGGCAUUUUCUCUCCAUGUCUAAACUCCUAAUCCUGAGCCCAACCCACGGGCUGAUACAUAGGACACCUCAGUGAUUAUAAUUCCAACUAACAGGGGAAGCACCAAGCUCACUCCUGGCCCAAAGCGGGCCCAGGAUACAGGCAGAAGGGGCAGGGCCACCCCAGGUUCAGGGGACGCACAGGUGAAUUGGGUUGGCGGACAGCUGGAGAAGCAUCAAAUCAGCUGUGGGUGCAGAAUCUAUGCUGGAGGUCGCGGAGGGGCGGGACAGGUGACCCCAGAGAGCUCCUUUCUCUGCUCCAGAUCUCCUCCAUGUCCCCAGCCAAGAAGAAAAGCUGAUCGUCCCAGCCCUGCCCAGUUCCCAGAGGCCCUGUGGAAUGACGGCGACGAUGAGGAUGGUGACAGUAACAAAAACACUCAGUGCCAACACGUGCAGAGCAUGGAUGCAUGCCAGGGCUGCACUGUGCACUGCUGACUGGAUCCUAAUCAACCAUCACCCUGUGGUUGGAGCCAUUGCUGCUGUCCCCUUUCCUCGUACAGCUCGAAUAACCUGGCUGCUGCACAGCGGAUGGAAAGCCUUGGUGUGUGUGUGUAGACCGUGCCUUGCAGAGGGUCCAGGUUACCUGGAACUUCCAUCCGGCGUUUUGCUCCUGCAUCUCAAGGAUGGCUCCAGCCAUCCCUCACCUUCCUCAGGAGCCCUCCGAACAGCACCUGCCUCAGCGCCCCUGAUCCCUCCGCGGAGGCUUCCCUGACUGUGCCAGUUCCACUGACCACCAAAGUGUGCUGUGCUCUUGCCUGCGCCACCUCCAGCCAUACCUCGCUGGAUGCCAGGCCACCCCAGGCGAGACUGAGUGUCUCGGGUCUCCCCAAGGCAAGGGCUUCCUGGGGUGCCAGGCCCCUGCUAGUGCCCCUCAGGAUCCCAGCUCUGGGCCUUCCAGAUCCACCUCUUCUUUGUGGGGUGGUCUCUGCCAGCCUCUUCUCUGGCAGGACAACAGGGUUCCCACUGGGGGCAGUGACUCCUGUCCAUGAGAGGCACCAUCUCCUUGGGGUAGGCGUUCAUGGCUGGAACACAACCACAGGGCAGAUGCUCAGGCCGAGGGGACGAGGGGAGCGUCCAGGGCUUGGGAUCCGCAUAUGGCAGCAUCCAGCUCCCAGUCACACUCCCUAGGACAGGAAGCUCACUUCUCCCUUCCCAUGUAACCAACCUUUCUUCAAGGGCAGAGAAGCUGUCCCUAAAGCUUCCCCAGCUCCUGGCUCCAGCACCUCGAUGCUAUGGACCACCAUGGUGAUCCCCUAGAGACCCCCACGCCCCCAGCCUCUCUCAAGACACCAUUUCCAGCCAACCAGUCCCCAGGUGGACUCCUGAGCACUAGCUCUGCUUUCUUGAGGUCCCUCUCUCUCAGACUUUGUGUUCAGAGCACCUCUCAAAGAGGUUUGACCUUCACAGAGCAAGAUUAUCACCUCCUUUGCUCUAGAUGUUAUGCUCCUAAUAACACAGCUUCAAGCUCCUCGGGUGUUUUGGAUUCCCCAGUACUCAGGUUGUCUCUGCAGCCAACAGCGAUCAUCUCCCCCACCCGCCCAAAGCUGCUUGGAACUGGCUGAUGGCUGGCUGGCCAUGAGACUCACCUCUCACCUGCAGGGAGCAGCUGAGUCCCCUGGCCCCAGGCAGAGGAGGCCAACCCCUCAGUCCAGACCUGCUUUACUGAUGUUCAGUAUGGGCUGAGCUCAGAGGGGUGUGCAGGCUGGGGAAGAGGAACCAAUGUAUCUUCCAACAAGACCUGGAAAGAUGACAGGCUGCUGUGUGGACAAGGGGUAGGAGCAGAGGGCACAACCUGGGCGAGGGGUCAGGAGUGGCAGGCAUGGCAGGAGCUGCUGUGGCUGGGAAACCUGGGAGCUCACAGGGACCCUGCCAGUGAAAGGCGUGCAGGCAGGUUGGGCCUCAUGAAGUCUCCAAACACCACAUAAGAGCUGUGGCUUUAGCCAGAUGUGGUGCCUCACGCCUGUAAUUCUAGCACCUUGGGAGGCUGAGCUGGGCAGGUCACCUGAGCUCAGGAGUUCAAAACCAGCCUGGGGAACAUAGUGAAACCUUAUAUCUACUAAAAUACAAAAAAAAUAGCCAGGCAUGGUGGUGCACUCCUAUAGUCCCAGGUACUCAGGAGGCUGAGGCAGGAGAAUUGCUUGAACCCAGGAGGUGGAGACUGCGGUGAGCACAGAUUGUGCCACUGCACUCCAGCCUGGGCCACAGAACAAGACUCUGACUCAAAAAAAUAAAAAUAAGUUUUUAUUUAACAUUAAAGAAGCCAUGGCUGACCCCUGGAGGCUGCUAGGAGUUGGGUUCAGGGGCUCUGUGUUACAUAGGAGAGAGCAGGCUACACUGGAGGGUGCAGGAGACCAGAAGCCAGGGGCCCGGAGGAGGCUGUUGCGGUUGCCAUAGGGACGGGGAAGGGGGCAGCUGGCCACAGAGGGAUGACAUGUGUGGGGAAAGGGUUGUGUGAACUAGUGGUAACUGCAGUCAGGGGGUGCCAUUCUCAGCUUGUCACCCUCAGGAAACUCACCUGGAGACACACAGGUAGGGGCAGGAAGAUGUAUUCCUGUAAGAAGAAGCCAGGUGUGGUGGAACUGGGGCCACUGGUCAUCCUACCCCAAUAGGAAGGCUUCCUGGAGGAAGUGUCUGGAGCCAGGUCAGGUGUCAGCAGACUGGAUAGAGUCCCCCGCUCUCCAACU